RNAcentral lists this microRNA (23 nucleotides) under Saccoglossus kowalevskii. Its description in RNAcentral is "Sko-Mir-281_5p* (star (passenger))". Lineage: Eukaryota; Metazoa; Hemichordata; Enteropneusta; Harrimaniidae. The record is from RNAcentral.
AGGGGAGCAUCGCCAGCGACGGU